RNAcentral lists this ribosomal RNA (444 nucleotides) under uncultured bacterium. RNAcentral's name for it is "partial 16S ribosomal RNA". It matches the Rfam family "Bacterial small subunit ribosomal RNA", at positions 338 to 795 of the family's 1533-position model. The record is from RNAcentral.
CCUACGGGAGGCAGCAGUGGGGAAUAUUGGGCAAUGGAGGCAACUCUUACCCAGCAAUGCCGCGUGAAUGAAGAAGGUCUUCGGAUUGUAAAGUUCUUUAAUUGGGGACGAAAAAAAUGACGGUACCCAAGGAAUAAGCCCCGGCUAACUACGGGCCAGCAGCCGCGGUAAUACGGGGGGGGCAGGCGUUGUUCGGAAGGACUGGGGGUAAAGGGGUGGUGGGCGGUGUAGCAAGUUAGAAGUGAAAUACCUAGAGCUUAACUCAGGUGCUGCUUUUAAAACUGCUAGACUUGAGUGCAGUAGAGGAAAGUGGAAUUCCUAGUGUAGCGGUGGAAUGCGUAGAUAUUAGGAGGAACAUCAGUGGCGAAGGCGACUUUCUGGACUGUAACUGACGCUGAGGCACGAAAGUGUGGGGAGCAAACAGGAUUAGAUACCCUUGUAGUC